GGGUUAUCUAGAAGGCAAGAUUGGACGUGUGUGGGAUUGCGUUGGAUUGUGCUAUGGGUUUGUGAACAGGGAGACAUCAUCAAUGAAUUGGAAUACUAUGUAAUUCUGCAACAUAUCACAUUGUGGGAGCUGUUGCCAUAAGGUCAAUCAUCAUCUAAACCUUGCUUGGUGAACUAAAGACGAAGUGUUGUGACUCAAAAUCAGGAAACAAAAUCCCAUGGGGCCCCUAAAAUUAAUUCCUUGGCCGCUGACACAGUACAGGAACCAGAUCCAUUUCCAUUGUGACACAGUUUUCUUGUUCCUAAGCCCACAAAUGGGUACUAUAAAUUCCUUGACAGCAAAAUCAUCAACAGGCAAUGGAGAAUGAAUGUUGGUUAAAGGCUGUUGAAACUGAACUUCUUGCCUUAGACGAAGCUCAAAAUAGGAUUUAGUAUCAUUGAUGCUUGUGAAUCCACAAACACCAAUUUGAGGGGGGUGUAAAUAGCAUUAAUGGACAAAAGCUAAUAUAUGGGAUUGUACAUGUAUUGGUAUUUGUACCUAUUAUUUUCAUCCCUUAAUAGAAUAAUAUGUUUAAAUGUAUAUACGGCAGUUUAGAAGAUUUACUGGGCUGAAAAUCAGAUUGACAACUUAUAAUUAGAUUGUAUUUGUAUGAGAUUUCAACAACAGAAGAAGGCAAAGUUUUGCCUCAUGCUCUGAGUUUAACACCAGUAUGUGCAUGCACAGUUCUGCCAGCAUACGUAUGAGAGAGUAUAAAGAGGGGGGCCUUUUAUAUGCUGAGAAUGAGAUGAGUAUAUAUUGAUAAUUAAAUCUUAUCAAAUAUAGUAAAGAACAAGACACAAAAAUCACGUAACUUCUUCAAAGUCAUGCUAUUAAAAGUAAUUUCUAAUACUAAUUGUCCAUAUAUACAGAAAUGAUAACAAUUGCGUGCCCGAGAGGAGAUGUUACUGUUGAUCAUUCAGUCAAAGUGGAUGGUCAAAAUUGGUUUUAACUUUCAUGUAAAACAAUCGUAUCCACAAGAGGAGCUUUGUUCUCUUCUACCAGUCCCUGACCUCCAUCCCUUCUAUACAGGUCCAUAGCUCUUUUCCAAUCCAUAUUUUCCCCUUACUUUAUCCCCUACAUUACCUUUAGUGAACCUAAAAUAACCAAGUUCCCUAACCACACAAGACAUUAGUAUCCAUCAUAAACAACAUUUCAAGUCCAUAUUCUUGUUGCUAAUCAAGAGUUCCACUUUUUUUAUCACGUGCUUUAUACACAGUAUAUUAUCCAUUUCACCUGCCAUCAUGAAUCCUAACAUCUACAACCCUGUACAUUACAAGUAUAACUGUGGCUGGAUAGACUUCUCAGUAAAUACCAAAAGAAAAAGGAAAUAAAGUCGUAAAAUGAACUAAUCUUCUCCCUUAAAAUCACCUUAUGUAUUUCAAUUUUUGUUCAAACCCACUAAUCAGCUUAUCAAAGACUACAUUUUUACAUAUUUACCGAUUAACUUAAUAGCAUUG
RNAcentral lists this small RNA (1496 nucleotides) under Vigna angularis var. angularis. RNAcentral describes it as "Non-protein coding transcript". Lineage: Eukaryota; Viridiplantae; Streptophyta; Magnoliopsida; Fabales; Fabaceae. The record is from RNAcentral.